GCUUCACACGUUCACUCCUCAGAACUCACCUUCAGUUGUUUGUGUGACCCCAUUUGGACCAUAUGGUGGAGGGACUGAAUUGGGGAUGCCUGCUGUUCCACCAAUGUUUGCAGCGCCUGUACCUGCUGCAGGAGCAGAACCCAGCCAGAGACAGCCGCAUACAGCUAAUAUGAACGGAGGAGACACUGAAUUGGGGAUGCCUGCUGUUCCACCAAUGUUUGCAGCGCCUGCACCUGCUGCAGGAGCAGAACCCAACCAGGGACAGCCACAUACAGCUAAUAUGAACGGAACUGCAGUCAACAGUUCGGUCACAUCUUUGCAAACUCCUUCAGCUGCCACACAGGAAUCUGGUAAG
This 355-nucleotide long non-coding RNA is filed under the name Zea mays. RNAcentral describes it as "long non-coding RNA (ZMAY_LNC004172)". Lineage: Eukaryota; Viridiplantae; Streptophyta; Magnoliopsida; Poales; Poaceae. The record is from RNAcentral.